AAGAAAUUCUUGAUCCUCCUCGGGUGCAGACAGCGUGGUGAUGGUGUGGGAGGCCAACGACUCAUACAGUACAUUGCCUGGACCCUGGCUUCAGGCAAAGAAGAAGCGAGGUAACCCAAGGCAAGUUUAUUUAUAUCACUCGUUUAUGCACAGAAGUGCAAGACUUAACCACCAUGAAAACAUUUUAGAAGGGCAUUAUCAUUAAAGCGGAGAUAGAAUAGAAACAGAAAUAAACAUGAAGUAUAGUUAAAUUUAAUUACAUAGUUAUAGUGCAUUAUGUGGACCAACAUCCCACAGGCCACUAUCAACAACCUAAUCAACUAUAUGCAAUGGAGAUAUGUUGCACUGCGGAAGGCAAAUGGUGGUCACACCAGAUACUGACUUUUUCUUACCCCCCGGACUCCCCCAAUACAGUAAAACUGCACCUUUUACAGUGGCCUUUAUUGUGGCCAGUCUAAAUGUCCUUUCACACUGGGAACGUGUGGUAUUCAGGCAUUUAUUUUUUCGUAUCAAGGUCAAUUUUUCUGAAGUUUUGCAUACUGUGUGUCCACUUCUGACCAAUCAGAUUUCAUGUUGUUACGACGUCAGAUUCACCAGUAUAUCCAACAUGGCUGACCAGCUAAUUAUUGAGGUGUCGGAGAACAGAGUGCUUUUUGAUAAAAGACACAAACAUUAAAAAGAUAAUGACCUGAAGGACAACUUGUUUAGAGUCAUAGCGUCGGAUUUCUGAUAUGACGAUGGUUUGUGUGCUUUAACAGUUUGCUAAACGUCUUUGUUUUAACUUUCAUCUGUGCUAGGUAACUUUAGCUUGUAAGCUAACCUGUUCAGAUACAACAUACCAUAUGUAUUUUCACUGUCUCAAACUCAAUCGCAUUGCUGUCACAGCACCAUUAGGUCUCGGUUGUUACCUUACGUUUACGGAUUAUAGAUUCAUGUGCUUAUCUGGUACAGGCCCCGAUUCAGUACAUGCUAUUGUAACAGACAGCCAUCUCAACACUAGUGUCUAAUCAGAACUGAAAAACAGUCAGUCUGGUGUUGUGUCAGUCUUCCAGCUUCCACCUGGGACGCGCCUUUUUACCCCCCGGAAGGUCGCAAAAUCGCAUCGGGCUUGAUGUGUAUAGUCAGGCGCGUCGAAAUUCGCUUCCGAAUAUUUCGCGUCGUAGAUUUGCAUCAGUCCCGGUGUGUAAGGACCUUAAGGCACACCUGUGCAAUAAUCAUGCUGUUUAAUCAGCAUCUUGAUAUUCCACACCUGUGAAGUGAAUGGAUUAUGUCAGCAGAGAAGAAAUGUACACUAACACAGAUUUAGACAAAUUUGUCAACAAUAUUUGAGAGAAAUAGGUCUAUUGUGAACAUAGAAAAAGUCUUAGAUCUUUGAGUUCAGCUCAUAAAAAAAUGUUCAGUGUAAAUCAGUCAUGCAUGCAUACAUAACAACAACACUACGUAAGAUAAGAGAUAAUAUAUACAUUAUUGAUCUGCUUAGGGGUAACAAAUUCUGUUGUUACAGCAGCUCAAAAAGGACAGCAGAAAUAUAACUAUAAGGUAACCUAAACUGAUCCCCUUGAGUAUUAUCAUCUCUGCUGCUGGAAACCUUCCUCUCGGUCCUGGGUUUGGCCAGGCCUCACUUGUCCCUUCCUGCUCACCCUCCACAGCGUGCCCUCACUCGGCCUCCACAGUUGCUCUGUUUGUUCAUAAAGGAUGAUGGCAUGAUCCUUUGAACUAAGGAUUUAGGCGACUUAUCAGGGAUGGCCAGCAUUAUCAAAAGAUGAUUUAGGACCAAAACUCAUUUUCGUCAAAAAAUGACUCGGGCCAUUAUUUUAAUGGGGUGAUGGCAUGUAAGCUUAAUGCCUGACAAAAGUGAUGUACAUGAUAAACAUAUCUGCUGAACAUUAGUUUGUUUGCUGUAGGCUUAGUUUUUCGCAUCUACAGCAAACAGAAGUUAUAAGAUUUUACCAAUAUUUAUCCCAUGAAAAAUGACUUGACACUGCAGACACAUCAUGUACUUUCUUUACCUUCAAACACGAUGAAUCCAACUUACCUUGUAAACCUAUGAUGAGGAUAACAAACUUGGUUCAUGCACAGUAGCACCUCUGAAAUCAGGGUUCAGCUGCAGCCUUUGUGAAUGAUGAAGCAAACACAGGCAAAGACACACACUGGCUGUUAGGAGAGAAAACAGCCAGUGAGGCUACCAGAGUGGCUGGAGCAUCAUUACUGCAACAAGUGAGUGGAGAGCUGGGGUAGAUAAUCUGCAGCUGUGAGUGAUCAACAGCAGGUGAGAGUGAUCAGCAGCAAUCACAGAGCUGGGAGCUGGGAACCAGGAGCGCCACACCUAUCCUGCACACACGCACGCACACACACACACUCAGAUAGCUGCAAAAGAGAGUACAAACAGAAAAAUACAGGAAAACAUGUGAAAAAGUAUGGCUGUGGCUCAGUCAGUGGCAUUGUCAUGGUGUUUUGCUCUCUGAGGAGUCACUUCAUUAGUUUAAGUCAUAUCCAUAAAAACAUACAGGGCCCAGUUACCCAUACAGGGCUUAAAUAAAACCAGGACUAGACUAAUCUGGUUUAACUAAAUCCACACUAAUCAAAUUGCUUGGAGUUUUACUAGAGUCACAGCAGAGUCACAGGGCACUCCUAUCAUCUCGAUCGUUAAAUUUAAGAUAUUAAUCUGCGUUGUUUUACAUCAGACUUUUCCUAGUCUUGGGUUUGCGAUAAUAUCAAAUGUGUCAGAUAUUAUCCCAAGUUGCAGUGACGUAACACAACCAGCAACCAACAGAUGAGCUCUGACAAAAGUGGAAAAGGACACCUGACAGUCAAAAAAAGAUAAAAAUGUAUGAAGAAUUGCUGGCAAUAAAACGUCAAGUGGACAGACCAAAAAGAGGAGUGUGUGGUGGAGCUGUGGGCACAUCAGCCUGGUCUAUUUGACAUCAACUGCAGGGUUUCCCCUACAUGUAAUGGCGCACGGCUAAAUUAAAGCCACCACACCUCAAAAAUAAAGUUUUAUAUGUUUAUAAAGUAUAUGUGCCAGACACAAGCUGCACUGCAGGGCGUGCAUGUGUGCCAAGUAUUAGUAUUAGUGAGUUUCGAGUUGUUUUAUGCGAACACACAGCUGGUAGACACUUUAUAUAGUUUUUUUUUUUUUUUAUACUUUUUAAGAACUGAUACCUCAGAAAAAAAAGUCUGCAUUUGGAAAGUUUUUACAGCAACCCAACAGUGCUGCAAAUAUGUUGCAAGAAGUGAAAAUACUUCAAGGCCAAACAAGAGAGCAAUUGAUUAAUCAAACCUGUUAACUCGAGCUACUUAAAAUAAGUACUCCAAACUUCUUUCCAAAAAAUAAAAAUAAAAUAGAAUAAAAUUCAGACGGUUUGGUGAACUGAACAAGUGCCUACCCAUCCCCACAUGGAUUCUAAGUUAAAAAAAAAAAAAAAUCUUUAUUACUCAUGAGAAAAUGUAAGGACUAGUUUUGUUCACUUUAUUAGCCGUCUCACUUUUACAGAGGAGGAUUUUGUUGUGCAGAAAAAGAAAAGGGAGGGCCAAUAUAAGGGUUUAUCAUUCCUGUCAUUUUAGACCCAUAAUCUCUUUUGAUUUUAGAAGUUAAAGGUACAGUUUGUAUUUUUUAGCAGCCUUUAGAAAUACAGAGAUGUAGACAUGGAAUAUAUCAUUUGUUGGUAUGUUUAUGAAUUAGUGUAUAAUCACCUGAAUAUAAAAAACAACAUUUGUUUUUUGGUGACUUAGAAUAAGCCUUUUAGGAGUAGGUCACCCUCUGUAUUGCAUCCCAAGUUUCUACUGUGUCACAGAAAGGACAAACUAGUACCAUUUGCAUUUUUGUAUUUAGCAAGCAGACACAUAAAGUGCAUUGACUGUAAGUUAUGUGCAUAUAUAUUAGCAUUAGUAGAUGUUUCAGAUGGGGAAAUGAGGGAUCAUACUCGUCCAUUACAGGAGUUUAUUGUCCUCAGAGGCCAGCACCUCUUUACCAACAGGAGUGAGUUUAACUAUGGUGACUACAAGUAUUGUAGUCAGCAUUCAAACUUUUAGUGGUUUAUAAAGUUAAACUUUUGUUGUAUCUCUUUACAGAUUUGUACAUUAAACUUAAAAAGAAAAUCAUAAAAAUUUGUUAAGGUUCCUAUUUCUGCUCUUACUCUCAGUCUCACAAAUCUCACAAAAUGAGGCAGACAGGGAAUUAAAAUGCUUAAUAGGAAGGGUGAAGUGACACUUGUUGCUUUCAUUCUCAUGUAGUUUUCUCUCAUUAUCAGAUGUCAUUAAAUCACUCAGGGUGAUUAACUCUUGAUUUGUGUUUCUUGUUUUUCUCUUUGAUAUUUCUUUUUCCUUUUAUGGUGCUCUGGAGUAUUUUUAACACGUUUGAGAUGUCCUUUAGCGGUGGCCUCUCAGUAGGAACCACAUUAGAUUUGCUGCAGCUCUUGCUCUCAUCUGAUUAACAGUAACCUCUGCACUGAAGCAGCAAAAUAAUAUCGCUCUUUCUCUCAGAGCAGAUUAAGUGUGAUCUUUAUUCAAACAGUUAAAUGUAGUUUGACCUUGCUCAGCUUGGAGUCAAGUAAGAUUACUUUCUUAAGUCAUUUUUGUUUCUUUUUACACAGCUACCAAACCUUUUGAGCACAUGUACUUAGUGUGUACUCAUUCAGCCUUCAUUUCAAGAGGCUGUCGCCUCCUAACAGGAGGGAUAAAAAGAGCAGAUUUCCAGCCUUGGAUGCAGCUAGUGAUGUGUAUGUGCAAAUAACACUCAGAGCACUACAUUUGAUUAACAUUUAUUCAUAUUAUGUGAAUAAAUCUCUUUAAUAAAAAAAAUUUAACUAAGGUUUUGCCUGAACUCCUAUUGAACAAUCACUGUAUGUAUAUAGUCUCACAAAUUAAAUAUGACUGGUUCAUUAUUAUUUGAAGCCCACUGUCUCUGUUAGGGAAACUUCAACACUUCAAACUCUACCAAUUAAACAUAUGUUCAUCUUUAUACUAAAUAGGAUACUUAAAUACUUUUGUUUUAAAACAAUGUCCUAUGCACAUGUCAGUUUAGCCUGUAAAGUCUAUGCAGUUUAUGGAGGCUGUAUUAUUUCAAAGAGUCCUCUCCCAGAAUUGGGGACAGAGCUGAUAUGUGCUAGUUUCUAAGUUGUUUGUUAUAAGUUAAUGUGUUAGGUUGUCUGCUUGUUAAUCUACUUAUGGAGCCAGCAAUACCUAGAGAGUACAUUCAGCCAGGACCACCUCCAUCAAAAAAAAGGACAGUUUGCAUAAAAUAGAUACAAACCCCAUUUUCAGUAAAGUUGGGACUUAGUGUAAAAUGUGAAUAAAAACAGAAAACAAAGAUUUCCAAAUCCUUAUCCACCUACAUUCAAGUGCAGCCUUUAAGUCACUAAGUCAUACCAAGUGUCAAACUUAGUGGGUGUAGUUACUAAACCCCAAAUAUAAGAUGAUUGUUCAGUUUAAUUCAUACGAUUCAGAUAAAUUUUAAAAUCAGUUAAAAAAAGGAUUUGAUAUGUUUAAUUUCAUAUAUUUCACAGUGUUUCAUUUGAGUGAGUUAAAAAAUGAGUGAGAGUUUAAUACCAGUACCUCCAUCUACUGGCCGAUUUUGGUACAGCGGUAAGGCUUUGUCAAUGUUGAAUAAAACCUUUAUCCAGGAAGUGACAGUUAACAAACAAACAAAGAACCUCAGAGAAGCACAUUUGCCAGCUUCUAGCUACAACUGGCCACUUGGGCAUACAUCUUCAACGAGUCGCAUUGUCGGUAAGUCUUUACACGUGAAUUAAUGGUUAUAUGCCUUCAGUGGCAUAAUAUUACAUUGUGUACCUAUUUGUGUAAUUGUGUGUCUCACAUGUAUUUAGCCUACUUUGAGUGAGCUAUUUUAGUUAGCCAUGCGAGGCUUUGGAUGGUUCACAGAUGUGGAAUUGUUUAUUUUAUUGUUUAUGCAUCUCCAUAAAUGCAAUAUUCAUGAUUAUGUUACUUGUUUUUCUCUUUUAGUGUGACACUUUACUUCAUCAAUAAAGUAAAGAGUUUAAGAGUUUAGCUGCCUGUCAACACAUGCACACUGCACAUUGGAGACAGAACAACGAUCACAGCUUUUCCAACUGUAUUUCAAGAACAAACACCCUGCCUCAUAUUCUGGUCAGUCUGGUAAUACUGAUAAAGAUAUCAAAAUUACACGGAAGAUCAUAUUACCUACUAUCCUUUAGAGUGCUAAUCAAAUUAAGUAAAUUUAUAAGUUCCAAUAUCUAAAGCGUCAAACACUAAUUUGGGCUCGGGCAGUUUGUUGUAGAAAACAGAAAUCCCGGUCUUUAAGAAUCAGCUUGUUUAUCUCAUGGAUAGAGAUGGGCCUAUAACCAAAGCACCAUGUUGCAAAUGAAAGCUCAGGGUUAAACAGUGACUUCCUCUUAUAAACAUGUAAUUGUAUCGACUGGUGCAGAGGAAGCCACCGUGGACUGGAAAUUGCAUUUUUCUGCAUGAGAGGAACGCCUGGUGAGAUGGAUGGUCUGCUGCACCAGAAUUUGUUCUUCUUUGUGUAGGUAGGAAAUGACAAACUGCGAGUGAGUCUAGUUAUCCUGGGCAAGUGUGUUUAGUCUCUGAAAGAUGCAUAAAAGCAGUGGGAGGCAGAUUUAAUCUCCAAAUAUAUACUGUGUCUUCCUAUUCUGAGGUGCUUUAUGGGUGGAAAAUAAGACAGGAAUUAAUGCUCCUGGGAGCCGACUGUGAUUAAUAUCUCCUCGGAGCUAUGCUUAAAAUGGGUAAACUUUGGGAUUUGCAUUGUAGAUCAAGACCCUUCUCUAAAUAGUGGAUUUUUGUCUCCAUUGAUCUUUCUGGUAAUGAACCUUCACAGUUCAUUACCAGCCAAAUCAAAUUCAAAAAACAUCCAUCUCUGCUGAGACUCAGUGACACAACCGAAGCAUGCUCCACGAUAAUGAAACCAACUCUCAGUGUGCUUCCUCAACACAUUCACAGUGUGCACAGAGGAUUACGCCUGCUGAUGUACAAAGUGUCUUUUUGCAAUUUAAAAAAAAUUAUUUGUCUUCAUUUCUGGUGUCUGCCGCUUCUACUGGUUUCGUGGCAGUGAUGUUAAAGAAGAAAGAGGCAAAGGGAUGACGCCACAUGAAAUCUAGAUUAAUGACAGGGAUCAGGCAGAAGUUUUAGCAGUGGCAGGUCACAUCAAUCACCUCCUGUGAUUGAUGCGAGAUUAACGACGGUCUAGGAAAACAUCUUGAUAAUGAACUUUAUAAAGAUGGAUGAUGUCAAAGAUUCUAAUGCAAAAGAAAAACAGGACUUAGAUGAUGUUUCUUUGCACAGACAUUGAAGCUGAGCAAAACGAGGGGGAAUUGUGUGCAAAGGUGGUAAGUGGCACGACUUCACUCAGGCUUGACAUGUUUUCCUUCAGUUUCUCAAAAGUCAUGUACUACAUUCACUUCCUAACCUGACAUAGGGGUCCUGCUGUAGAUGUCACAGCCUCUGAACAGCUACAAUACAGAGCCAGUGGAAAAAAAAUUAGCACACUUUGGUUCACACUGCUUUCACACCACAAGCAUUAAUACUGACAGAAGGGGGAAACUAGUUUCAAGUGCCAGUCUUAUAUGAUUUACACUUUGUGGAAAGCAGUGGUGUAGAAAAAGGAUAAGAGUUAAUGUUUCUUAGAACCCAGAUUAGGGGGAUUUAUGUGGAUCAAGUAUUAAAGGCAAUGCAUCCAUACUAUUCAGCUUCUGACUCAAAGCCCUGAGCCAGUUUCAGUUUGAUUGGGAUGUAUUCAUGACAAAGGAAAAUCAAAUCCUAACCGAAUUAUCCAGGUAUGUAAGUCUGACAAUGAAAAGUUCAGUGCGGUGUUAUUUUAGAUGGACUAAUGUGUUUACAUGUUUUUGAAAAGUCCAGUUUUAGUCAGGCAAUAAGUCACAUUUUAUUGAACUGCUGGAUUCUGUUGAUGCAAAACUUGUCACUGAACUGGAACAGGCCAUCAACUGCUGCAGACAGGGUCAGCUCUACCAAAUCAUCUAAUAAACUCCAACCAAAGCACUGCUCUUAGUGUAAGUGCACACUCCCUUCAGAAACUCCUCAAUACUUUGUCAUCAGAAAGAGUUUUUGCACAGUCCUCGGACAUGACAGACAAGUGUGUUUGUGCCUGAAGCACAAUGAUCCUCUAAUUGGGUGUAUGUUUGAGUCAUGGAUACAUUGAGAAAAUGUGUUAUUUAUAAGGCAUAGCGGUAGUUCAUGCAGGUCACGGAGUCAAGCUAAAGGCUACAGUCAGCUGAUCUUAAGCCAGCCCUCAGUCAGCUGACAGCUCAGGUAAUCACCUUUUUCACAUCCUAUUGGCUAAUGUCAAAAUGGCGCCCUAUUUAAACUGCCUCUCCUGCCUACCCUGCCUGCUGCAACAACUCUGCAACCCACCUCCACCCCAACUCCUCCUGUUUAUGUUGUGUCUGAUCUUACCAGUGUCAUAUGUAUUGUCACUGAUGCUUGCUCUGUUCUGUGCGGGGAUUUUUAUUUAUUUAUUUUAAUCGAAUUUAUUUGCUGCUUCUCUGCCUGGCUCCUCAUGUAUGCACAUGAAAGGGAGGGGAGGAGCUCAGGGAACAGGGCAGGGAACCCUCAGAGCAGAGCCAUACCGCCAAAGUAAAAAUGUUUGCUUGUAAUAAAUAACUAAUUUUGAUUAAAGUGAUCCUGACUGAACUGUGUUUGUGAUAGUUUGAGUCACAGCUGAUACACCUCAUCCUAUUCGUCCGAGUCGCGUCAGAGUCACCAAAAAAAAAAAUCUGACUUGAAUUCUCUUCCUCUGAGUUGAGUCCAGGUUCAGUUGAAUGCAUACUUUAAGUUGCUUUAACUUAGUUAAAACAUAUCACAUCUGACUUAACCAAACAUCGUGGAGCCAUUGUUUAAGUAACUUAAGAGGCUAAUGUAGUUAUUAUUUAGCAGCUAGCGUAUGACAACUUAAUCAGCAGAGUAACAUUAGCUUGACGAUCUACUCACUUCUCAGUGCAUCCUUGACAGAUGUCUGUGAAAGUUCAAUGUUGUCCCCAUCUUCCCUUCCAUGGUUCUUUUACACAAUGAACGCAUUGCUCUACAUUUGCCGGAAAAAAAUAUCUUUGAAGCAAACUGCGCAACCCAUGGCGCAUCCUUCGACAUCUUGCUGUGCACUAUUGCUGAAUGAGACGGCACGUGAACAUGCAUGCAGGUAAACAAACACACAUGCUAGCCAUAGGCACAAGACUGAUCUGUUAUUUGGACCUUAUACCAGAAGAGAAAAUAAAAAAAUCACAAAGCAGUCAUUGAUAAAUAAGCCCAGUCCUCCUCUGAGUCCCAAUGCAGCCAGCACUCAAGUCCGAGUCGAGUCCGAGCCCUGGACUCGAGUACUACAACAGUGCCACAGGGGUAGCUGACAGUGUUGUGGUAAUAGAUGAUGCUAGAAAGAGAUACACAUCUCAUAGAAAUUGCGCCUCAGUCAAUGCAGCAGCAGUUGUGAAAUACUCUUAAGUGACUUUAACAAUUCUUAGUCCAGGAAACAGCUGUGACAACCUUACCCAGAAGUACUUUUGAAGAAGAAUAGAUACAAAACAUAAAGUUACACAAAACGCAUUGGGACAGACAAAUCAGAACAACACAUCAACCCAAAGCAUGACAGUAUGUUAUUAAUGAUUUCAGUUAUUCAGAGUUUAGUCUGACUGCAAACAACUCUAAAGGGAAUAAAAGUAAUCAGAGAAAGUCUCCCUACAUCUGUCAGCAGUCUAACCAAUUCCAUGUCUCCUCUGAUUGUGUUUGGUCCAACCGUUUCCCAAAGCGACUAAAGGGUCACUGUGUACAAAGUAAAUUUCUUAUUCUAAUUUACAGCCAGCCUGACAAUGGAAUUGCUUUUCUGCAUUUCCUCACGACUAAAACUAGAGCCGGUUUUUCAAUUUGCACUUACGCUUUCUCUUUCUGCCCACACAUGAACGUUGAGCCCCCACCACUAACCCAGUUGUUAGCUUCCAUUUAUUUCUCUGCUUUUCCUAAUAACGACUUCCUGUAACUUACUUUUCUUUUUUUGACUCUGUCUUCAAUCCUAAAUGUGUUCCUAGUCUCAAUCUGCAUAACCCAUUCUGCAAAUGAGGUGCAACACCACAGCAUUUAUUAUUUCAGCCUGAGCUGGAUCAUAGCUUUAACUAACCUGCAGAGCCGUGGUAAAUCAUCCACAUAUCUCCCUCUCUGACUGACCACGGCUCCUUACUAAUGGCCAGUCAUUCCUGCAGACUCUUCCUCAUUUUAAUCACCCUAUUUCAAGGUGUUGUAUUAUUUUGUUCUGUCAAGACUCCCACCACGUUAUUAUUCAUGAUAAUGAGAAUGUUCCUCUUGCUGCACAGAUACAGCCACUUGUUAACUAUGGCAUGCUUCAUUUUCUUUCAGGAUGAUUUUCCGUUUCGCAAUUAAAUGUGAUAGCUUUGCAACCCUCAUACUUAAGGGUGUUUUCCUUUUACUUUAACGCACACAAAUCAAAUUUCUCAGAGAUAAGAGAGAAAGGAGUGCCUUAAGCUUUAUCCCAUGCAAUUAAGAUAAUAUGAACAGUUCCCACAAAUCCCACAAAGAAUAUACAUCAUGUUUAAAGGAAAUAAAUAAGUCCUGGGAUCAGCUGAUUUAUAGCACAGAGCUCUGCUUUAAGUCUGUAACAGCCCCCUUCUGUGUUAAUCUUGUUGGAUUUCACCUCUGCUUCUGACAUGGUAAACCAUUCCAUCCUCCAUCUUGAACAUCACGUUAGUGUCCUUGGUAGUGCUCUCUAGCAUCCUUGUUUAUUGAGAUCAUUUUCUGUCUAACGUGGUGGCAACUCCUCUGCAUCUGCAUCUAUCACUUUUGGAGUUCCCCAGGGCUCCAUAUUGGGGCUUGUAUUGUUUGCUCUGUAUAUGGUCCCUUUAGAUCUCAUUUUCAUUUCCAUACCAUUAUGCAGAUGACACUCUGAUAUACCUCUUAUGAAACCCCUGUGGCCGCAUCAAAACCUCAGGUCAGUCUCUGGAGUGCCUCAAACAGUUAGUGGAAAACAACCCCCUAGAACUUAAUGGCAGUGAAAGUGAGCUGAUUUUGCUCGGUCCCCCUAAAGCCUCACGGAAAAAUAGUUCAUUACCAAAUGUCCUUGGCACCUCAUGUCUUUGAUCCUAUGUUGAAACAAUUGGACUAACUGGACUUAUUACUCCUGUUGUUGAAAUCUUACGUCACCAAUGGCACAUAACCAAGUUCAAAGUGUUCGCUCUGCUUUCCUAUUUUCUUUCCCAACAGGACUUCUGUAAUGCUCUCUAUCAGGGCAUCAGCCACUCCUCCUGGGUAAUGUUUGCAGAUAGUUCAGAAUACUGCAGCAACACAGUAAACUAAAACCAUGAAGAGAGAGCAUCUCCUCUGCUUAUGUGAAACUACACUGGCUUCCACUAUUUCGUUGGAGGUUCUUUUGUUUGCUUUGGCCUCACCCCGAGUGCA
Xyrichtys novacula (pearly razorfish) is the source of this 11403-nucleotide non-coding RNA. NCBI's taxonomy places the organism in Eukaryota, Metazoa, Chordata, Actinopteri, Labriformes, Labridae. The record is from the annotation of a GenBank genome assembly.